UGUCAGAGUUUUAAAUAUGGCUCAGGAUGAACGCUGGCGGCGUGCAUAAUACAUGCAAGUCGAGCGAACGGACGAGAAGCUUGCUUCUCUGAUGUUAGCGGCGGACGGGUGAGUAACACGUGGAUAACCUACCUAUAAGACUGGGAUAACUUCGGGAAACCGGAGCUAAUACCGGAUAAUAUUUUGAACCGCAUGGUUCAAAAGUGAAAGACGGUCUUGCUGUCACUUAUAGAUGGAUCCGCGCUGCAUUAGCUAGUUGGUAAGGUAACGGCUUACCAAGGCAACGAUGCAUAGCCGACCUGAGAGGGUGAUCGGCCACACUGGAACUGAGACACGGUCCAGACUCCUACGGGAGGCAGCAGUAGGGAAUCUUCCGCAAUGGGCGAAAGCCUGACGGAGCAACGCCGCGUGAGUGAUGAAGGUCUUCGGAUCGUAAAACUCUGUUAUUAGGGAAGAACAUAUGUGUAAGUAACUGUGCACAUCUUGACGGUACCUAAUCAGAAAGCCACGGCUAACUACGUGCCAGCAGCCGCGGUAAUACGUAGGUGGCAAGCGUUAUCCGGAAUUAUUGGGCGUAAAGCGCGCGUAGGCGGUUUUUUAAGUCUGAUGUGAAAGCCCACGGCUCAACCGUGGAGGGUCAUUGGAAACUGGAAAACUUGAGUGCAGAAGAGGAAAGUGGAAUUCCAUGUGUAGCGGUGAAAUGCGCAGAGAUAUGGAGGAACACCAGUGGCGAAGGCGACUUUCUGGUCUGUAACUGACGCUGAUGUGCGAAAGCGUGGGGAUCAAACAGGAUUAGAUACCCUGGUAGUCCACGCCGUAAACGAUGAGUGCUAAGUGUUAGGGGGUUUCCGCCCCUUAGUGCUGCAGCUAACGCAUAAGCACUCCCGCCUGGAGUC
RNAcentral lists this ribosomal RNA (896 nucleotides) under Staphylococcus aureus. RNAcentral describes it as "bacterial SSU rRNA". It matches the Rfam family "Bacterial small subunit ribosomal RNA", at positions 1 to 880 of the family's 1533-position model. Lineage: Bacteria; Bacillati; Bacillota; Bacilli; Caryophanales; Staphylococcaceae. The record is from RNAcentral.